This 140-nucleotide ribosomal RNA is filed under the name Salmonella enterica subsp. enterica serovar Schwarzengrund. RNAcentral describes it as "partial 16S ribosomal RNA". It matches the Rfam family "Bacterial small subunit ribosomal RNA", at positions 1 to 134 of the family's 1533-position model. Lineage: Bacteria; Pseudomonadati; Pseudomonadota; Gammaproteobacteria; Enterobacterales; Enterobacteriaceae. The record is from RNAcentral.
AAAUUGAAGAGUUUGAUCAUGGCUCAGAUUGAACGCUGGCGGCAGGCCUAACACAUGCAAGUCGAACGGUAACAGGAAGCAGCUUGCUGCUUUGCUGACGAGUGGCGGACGGGUGAGUAAUGUCUGGGAAACUGCCCGAU